Homo sapiens (human) is the source of this 316-nucleotide long non-coding RNA. RefSeq lists it as uncharacterized. Lineage: Eukaryota; Metazoa; Chordata; Mammalia; Primates; Hominidae. The record is from RefSeq and is a predicted model, not a curated record. The transcript is spliced from 2 exons.
CUCAUGCCAUUGCAGUUGGAUAUCAGCUGGGACCACAGUUAUCUAAAGGCCCCACUCUGAAGGUCAAGAUGGCUCACUCACAUGGCUGGAAGCUGAUGCUGGCUGUGGCCUGGAAUGCCAGACAUAACCUCUCCAGGGAUGGGAGAGCUGCUGUCACAAACCAAGGAACACGUGGAGCCACCAGAAACUGGGGGAGGCAAGAAAGGAUCCUCUCCUAGAGCCUUUAGAGGGGGUGCAGCCCUGCCAACACCUUGAUUCCUGACUUCUACCCUCCCCUCCAGAUUUGCAAGACAAUAAAUUUCUGUUGUUUAAACCA